UACGUAGGGUGCGAGCGUUGUCCGGAAUUACUGGGCGUAAAGAGCUCGUAGGUGGUUUGUCGCGUCGUCUGUGAAAUUCCGGGGCUUAACUUCGGGCGUGCAGGCGAUACGGGCAAUACUUGAGUGCUGUAGGGGAGACUGUAAUUCCUGGUGUAGCGGUGAAAUGCGCAGAUAUCAGGAGGAACACCAAUGGCGAAGGCAGGUCUCUGGGCAGUUACUGACGCUGAGGAGCGAAAGCAUGGGUAGCGAACAGGAUUAGAUA
This 262-nucleotide ribosomal RNA is filed under the name uncultured prokaryote. RNAcentral's name for it is "partial 16S ribosomal RNA". It matches the Rfam family "Bacterial small subunit ribosomal RNA", at positions 524 to 784 of the family's 1533-position model. The record is from RNAcentral.